CUCUUCCGAUUCUCUUUGUGCCCUGGCAAAGGAAAAGGUAGAGAGGAAGGGAGUAAGUGUCAGCUCAGUUCGGCAGAGUGCAAGAGUUUAACCCUGAAGUCCUGCAAGAUGACUGCAAGCCUCAGAGAUAAGUUGCUCCUCAGGGAAUCAUAGAAACAAGGGCGGAAAGCACUUCAAGAGAACGCGAGUAAGAGUGCAGCAGGAUCGCCUGUCAUCGCCUGCGGUGGGGGUGGAGAAACCUGGUCCUUCCAUGCCACCUAGUGUAGGAAGCAGAGCAGCAGUCCUGCGAAGAUGGGCUCUGCAAGCUGGGGUCAUUAAGUAGGAAAUAAUGGAUACCUGAAAUCU
Molecule: non-coding RNA, 345 nt
Organism: Meleagris gallopavo (turkey)
Lineage: Eukaryota; Metazoa; Chordata; Aves; Galliformes; Phasianidae
Source: RefSeq, a predicted model, not a curated record